This is a small nucleolar RNA of Hevea brasiliensis (rubber tree), 107 nucleotides long. The record is from RefSeq and is a predicted model, not a curated record. NCBI's taxonomy places the organism in Eukaryota, Viridiplantae, Streptophyta, Magnoliopsida, Malpighiales, Euphorbiaceae.
AUUUGAUGAUGUGGGCAACUUGCACACAAUCUCUUGAAUCUCUCCCAAUACUCAUGCAAUGACUCCCCAUUAUACUGCCCAAUGCCAUAAAUAUCUUUUCUAAUGUU